RNAcentral lists this ribosomal RNA (763 nucleotides) under Staphylococcus aureus. RNAcentral's name for it is "partial 23S ribosomal RNA". It matches the Rfam family "Bacterial large subunit ribosomal RNA", at positions 1438 to 2196 of the family's 2925-position model. The record is from RNAcentral. Lineage: Bacteria; Bacillati; Bacillota; Bacilli; Caryophanales; Staphylococcaceae.
CCUGUACCACCUAUAAUCGUUUUAAUCGAUGGGGGGACGCAGUAGGAUAGGCGAAGCGUGCGAUUGGAUUGCACGUCUAAGCAGUAAGGCUGAGUAUUAGGCAAAUCCGGUACUCGUUAAGGCUGAGCUGUGAUGGGGAGAAGACAUUGUGUCUUCGAGUCGUUGAUUUCACACUGCCGAGAAAAGCCUCUAGAUAGAAAAUAGGUGCCCGUACCGCAAACCGACACAGGUAGUCAAGAUGAGAAUUCUAAGGUGAGCGAGCGAACUCUCGUUAAGGAACUCGGCAAAAUGACCCCGUAACUUCGGGAGAAGGGGUGCUCUUUAGGGUUAACGCCCAGAAGAGCCGCAGUGAAUAGGCCCAAGCGACUGUUUAUCAAAAACACAGGUCUCUGCUAAACCGUAAGGUGAUGUAUAGGGGCUGACGCCUGCCCGGUGCUGGAAGGUUAAGAGGAGUGGUUAGCUUCUGCGAAGCUACGAAUCGAAGCCCCAGUAAACGGCGGCCGUAACUAUAACGGUCCUAAGGUAGCGAAAUUCCUUGUCGGGUAAGUUCCGACCCGCACGAAAGGCGUAACGAUUUGGGCACUGUCUCAACGAGAGACUCGGUGAAAUCAUAGUACCUGUGAAGAUGCAGGUUACCCGCGACAGGACGGAAAGACCCCGUGGAGCUUUACUGUAGCCUGAUAUUGAAAUUCGGCACAGCUUGUACAGGAUAGGUAGGAGCCUUUGAAACGUGAGCGCUAGCUUACGUGGAGGCGCUGGUGGG